Molecule: ribosomal RNA, 449 nt
Filed under: uncultured bacterium
Lineage: Bacteria
Description: partial 16S ribosomal RNA
Rfam family: Bacterial small subunit ribosomal RNA
Source: RNAcentral
AACGAACGCUGGCGGCAGGCUUAACACAUGCAAGUCGAUCGCUGUCUUCGGACAGAGAGGCGCACGGGUGAGUAACACGUGGGAACAUGCCCUUAAGUACGGAAUAACACAUGGAAACGUGUGCUAAUACCGUAUACGCCCUACGGGGGAAAGAUUUAUCGCUUAAGGAUUGGCCCGCGUCCGAUUAGCUAGUUGGUGAGGUAAUGGCUCACCAAGGCGACGAUCGGUAGCUGGUUUGAGAGAGUGAUCAGCCACACUGGGACUGAGACACGGCCCAGACUCCUACGGGAGGCAGCAGUGGGGAAUAUUGGACAAUGGGCGAAAGCCUGAUCCAGCCAUGCCGCGUGAGCGAAGAAGGCCUUCGGGUUGUAAAGCUCUUUCAGAUGUGAAGAUGAUGACGGUAGCAUCAGAAGAAGCCCCGGCUAACUUCGUGCCAGCCGCCGCAGUAA